Molecule: long non-coding RNA, 1931 nt
Organism: Cygnus olor (mute swan)
Lineage: Eukaryota; Metazoa; Chordata; Aves; Anseriformes; Anatidae
Exons: 3
Source: RefSeq, a predicted model, not a curated record
UCUGAUUCUUCUGAGACACAAAGAAUUUGUUUGUCUCGCUUAUGAGAGCUGAGGGAGUGAUGGCACAGAAGGCUAAAUCUUCACCAUCCCCCUGGAAAGGACCUCUAUCAAGCACGCUCGUGUCUGAAUUACAUCUCAGCCCUAGGGAAGAUGGUUUCUUCAGUUCCCCUUCAAGCCCUCCAUUCAUGCGCUGUAGCGGGAUGAACUCAGAAAGCCCUUGCGCUCCCAGGUCUGCCUUCCUCAUUUCCUUCCACACAUUUCCAGCUGCCCUUGCCCAAAGCUGGCCAGGCACAGCCACAAAGCCCACCCCAAGCCCACAAGUGGACAGGAGCCUUCCCAGCUGCUGGAUGAUUCCUCACCAGGACAGCAUGGGCACGAGUUUCAGUACAGCCUCACUUAUUCCUGCCUGGGAUCUGCAUGGAGUCAGCACAGCCUGGGGUCAUGUCAGCAAAGCCUGAACAAUUGUCUUGGGUACCCAAAGAGGCAGAGGAAUACUUUCAAAGACGUUGUUCAUGUUACCCAUGUCGUGUGCUGCUGUAGGUGACACCGUCAUAUGUUCUAGACAUUCAGGGUUGCUGUUCCCUGCAUGUAGCAGCUGAAAUUAGACCCCUGGUAGUGGCGUAGCCCUACUGCAGCAGCUCUCAUCUGUACAGUCACGUUUGCCAUUCCAGCCAUGGUGAAGUGUUCUCUCACUGGCUCACCAGUGCUUCAGCACACCCACUUCUUUCCUAAGAUUUGGCUAAAGAUCAGAGCAGCUUGGUUAUAAUAGCAUUUGGCAGUAAGUCUACCAAGCAACCUGGCCUGAACAGCUGAAAGGAGAGCAGCAAAGCAAAGUACUGAGACUCAGUAUUCCAGAAGGAAAUUUUUGGGCAUCCCUUACAACCAGCAUAUCCUCGAAUUUCUAUUUCUGCCUCGUUUGUCUCUGUGUAACACUUUUGUUUUCAAUCUUCCUUCCCUCUUUUCUUACAAUUAGCAAGGGAGAGGGGUGAAUUGUGAAGUCAGAUUACAAGCACCUGCCUCAGCCUGUGUGUGUGCAUGCAGGCACAUAGGCAUGGGAGAGCAACCACUGCCAAAGAGAAGAGCUGGAAACAGACUAGUGAAAAAGAAAUAAAGCUGAGGAUAGUGAGUUACAAGAAAGUGGGUGAGAAAAGUAGAAAAACUAUCACAACAGUUUCUCGUCACCAGCUGGCACAGCAACUUUGCUAGGGAAAACCUAGAGGCUUUCAGUGCGGUAUAUUUAGUAAAUGGGGUAUUACGAUUCAAUUCAAUUACAAAACAUCAUACAUAAAGGCAUUUUAAUAUUUUCUAUGGGAACACUGAUACUGGAACUGAACUGCUUUUAAACAAACCCCAAAGCCUUUGCCUUGGUUAUUCACGUAACCAAGUGUGAGGCGGCUUCGGGCUUCCCAGAAGGUGGAGGCCACUAGUGUCAAUUCUAGGAGAAGGAACUCCUCUUAAGGAAAUCCCUAGGAUCAAUCAUCAAUCCAGGCUUCCUGAUGGACAAGAUUUUGUGUGCAAAGAUCCCAUAGUUACAGAUGUGCUGCCUGAAAAGCAGGUUUUGCAGUGCAUCUUGCAUCACAGUGGCCAGAUCCUGGACAUACAUCAAAGCCUCUACCUUAUGAGUCGCAGCAGACAACAAGAUGUACUGCCUGCUCUGAUGUGCACGGCACAGGCUCUGCCUUUGCAGGGCAGGGUACCACACCUCACGCCAAGCCGGUGAUGUUAGCGGCAUCGCAGGGAAUAGCCCUUCCUCUGAGUAACAGCCUGCUCAGGGAUCAGGCCGAGGCAGGUUUCCUCCUGACUUAUUUCUGUACGUCCACGCUCUCUGUAAGACUGGCCUGCUGCAGCAUAUCGCAUGGAAUUCAUUAGCACAUCCCUUCUGAUAAUCCUCCCUGGGUUUAACACAGCAUAUUCAUUGAUUUUUCCUGGUC